This 565-nucleotide small RNA is filed under the name Malus domestica (apple). RNAcentral describes it as "sRNA MD08G0170100". Lineage: Eukaryota; Viridiplantae; Streptophyta; Magnoliopsida; Rosales; Rosaceae. The record is from RNAcentral.
UCUCUCUCAACUCCCUCGUCUCGCACCUUCUUUUUCCUCGUUAGGCAUCCGCUCACUACUGUCUCCUCCAUUGAAGCAGAGAUCUCCUCCUCCUCCUCCUCCUCUGUUUGUCCCCUUUUCUCCGUCCGAUUCUCCUGAUUCCACCGACCUCGCGAUCUUCCUUAAUCACCGCGUUUCUCUGCCUGCAUUCUCCUUCUUCUGCUUUAUUCCAUUUCCUCCACCUCUUCCGACCUGUAAUUUCGCUGUUUCUUGACGAAUAUCGGUCCGCCUUCGACCGCGAACCGUCUGUUUGGCUGCCUAGAAAAUUCCAGAAAAUUACAAGCUUAAAUGAAACUGAGAAAGAAUCGCGUAAUAGUAGAGUCCUUAUCGUAAGCCCUACGUCAAAAUAAUAUUAUUGUAGAGGAAAUUUAUUUUGUUUUGGAGACAGACGCCUUCGCUAUGCAAUUCAGUCAGGAUGUCAAAUCAUUACAGAUGCUGUCGGUGAAAUAUCAAACUGCGUGAACAUGAAGGUAAACACCUCAUACACCAUUUUGUGAAAUACAAUACUUCAGUGGACCAAACCUGA